GGUGCCGGCGUCUUCGGCUACAUCGACGGCACCAACCCGGAGCCGGCCAAGCUCCUCGUCACCACCAAGGAUGGCAAGGAGACUUCAUCGCCCAACCCUCUCCACCCUAUAUGGGUACGGGAGGAUCAGCAGGUCCUUGGCUACCUGCUGAAUAACCUCACAAAAGAGGUCCUGGUCACGGUGACCACGGUCACCACGGCGGGCGCGCUCUGGACGACGCUUGCGGCCAUGUUCUCGUCGCCAUCGGCGAGUCGCAUCAACAACAUCCGCACCUCCCUCAUCAACGCGCAGAAGGGAAACCUCUCGGUGGCCUCCUAUUUCGCCGCCAUGCGUGGCUAUUCAGAUGAGCUGGCCGCGGCGGGCAAGCCGAUCCAGGACGAUGAGCUCAUCCCGUACAUCAUCCAUGGGUUGGAGGCGGACUAUCAACCUCUGGUGUCGGCUCUCGACGCCCGUGUCACUCCUGCGACCCUCGACGAGCUCUUCACCAUGCUGUCCAACUUCGACCAGCGCAUGGCCCAGUUCCAAGGAUCCGGUGGCUUCAAAUCUUCUGCAAACAUGGCGUCGCGCGGUCGGGGUGGCGGAUCCCGCUCGCGUGGCCCUCCUCGCUACAAGGGGGGCGAUCUGGCGGCGGCAAUGUCCGCGGCCACUCUUCUCUGCGCUCGGGCGGCCGAGGCCGCGGGCGCGGGCGCGGUGGUGGCAACAGGACGCGUCCAGAAACUCCAAGGUGCCAGAUCUGCGGGAAGCCCGGCCACACUGCCAAAGAUUGCUGGUACCGUUACGAUGAUGAUGCUGAUUCUCAAGACGAUGACAAGGUAG
This 816-nucleotide ribosomal RNA is filed under the name Triticum aestivum (bread wheat). RNAcentral's name for it is "partial small subunit ribosomal RNA". The record is from RNAcentral. Lineage: Eukaryota; Viridiplantae; Streptophyta; Magnoliopsida; Poales; Poaceae.